Non-coding RNA from Actinobacteria bacterium RBG_16_67_10, 73 nucleotides. The record is from Rfam. Lineage: Bacteria; Bacillati; Actinomycetota.
GCCCCCGUAGCUCAGUUGGAUAGAGCGCCGGCCUCCGGAGCCGGGUGCGCAGGUUCGAGUCCUGCCGGGGGUA